AAACAUACAUAUGCAUGAAGACAAUUAAAAUAAAAGCAAAGAGAGAAGAAAAAAAGAGACACCAAUAAUAGAAUUGCACAUAGAGAACACCCAAGAAAAUCAACUGAAAAAGAUAUCACCAAGGUGGCCUCAAGAAUUGAUAGGAUUCCAGCCACAAGUGAAGGCCUUACUCAGGGAAGUCACAACGGGUUGCUCGUCCAUACAGGAUCAAGGACAGGUUGGCCUGUUGGCCAGACGCCCAGCGCAAACAGCUCAGCCCAGUGAGGGAGAGUCAUUAGAAGAAGAAAUGGAAGCUCAAAGAAGGUCA
RNAcentral lists this long non-coding RNA (307 nucleotides) under Pan troglodytes (chimpanzee). RNAcentral describes it as "long non-coding RNA NONPTRT005466". The record is from RNAcentral. Lineage: Eukaryota; Metazoa; Chordata; Mammalia; Primates; Hominidae.